This 242-nucleotide ribosomal RNA is filed under the name uncultured bacterium. RNAcentral's name for it is "partial 16S ribosomal RNA". It matches the Rfam family "Bacterial small subunit ribosomal RNA", at positions 15 to 252 of the family's 1533-position model. The record is from RNAcentral.
GAUCCUGGCUCAGGACGAACGCUGGCGGCGCGCCUAACACAUGCAAGUCGAACGAGCGAGAGAAAGCUUGCUUUCUCGAGCGAGUGGCGAACGGGUGAGUAACGCGUGAGGAACCUGCCUCAAAGAGGGGGACAACAGUUGGAAACGACUGCUAAUACCGCAUAAGCCCACAGGUCGGCAUCGACCAGAGGGAAAAGGAGCAAUCCGCUUUGAGAUGGCCUCGCGUCCGAUUAGCUAGUUGG